Molecule: transfer RNA, 68 nt
Filed under: Cuniculus taczanowskii (Mountain paca)
Lineage: Eukaryota; Metazoa; Chordata; Mammalia; Rodentia; Cuniculidae
Description: tRNA-Val
Source: RNAcentral
AAAGUGUAGCUUAAACCAAAGCAUUCGGCUUACACCCGAAAGAUUUCACCCACCAAUGACCACUUUGA